AUUGGUGGAUCUGAAUAACUCACGGUCUCGCACCGGCGACGCAUCUUCCAAGUGUCUGCCUUAUCAACUUUUGAUGGUAGUUUAUGCGACUACCAUGGUUGUAACGGGUAACGGAGAAUAAGGGUUCGACUCCGGAGAGGGAGCCUGAGAAACGGCUACCACAUCCAAGGAAGGCAGCAGGCGCGCAAAUUACCCAAUCUCAGAGAGGAGGUAGUGACGAAAAAUAACGAGACGGUUCUCUUGUUAUCGGAAUGAGUACAAUUCAAACCCUUUAACGAGGAUCUACGAGAGGGCAAGUCUGGUGCCAGCAGCCGCGGUAAUUCCAGCUCUCGAAGUGUAUAUCAUUGUUGUUGCGGUUAAAAAGCUCGUAGUUGGAUCUGCUUUGGAGCCGGUCUUCCCAACGGGACAGUGGCUGGUUUGCCUUGGUGCUCUUAACUGGGUGCCUUGGCUGACUAGCAGGUUUACUUUGAAAAAAUUAGAGUGCUCAAAACAAGCGUUUGCUUGAAUACUGGUGCAUGGAAUAAUGGAAUAGGAGGUUC
RNAcentral lists this ribosomal RNA (539 nucleotides) under Pseudolella parva. Its description in RNAcentral is "SSU rRNA". It matches the Rfam family "Eukaryotic small subunit ribosomal RNA", at positions 252 to 832 of the family's 1831-position model. The record is from RNAcentral. Lineage: Eukaryota; Metazoa; Nematoda; Chromadorea; Araeolaimida; Axonolaimidae.